This 74-nucleotide transfer RNA is filed under the name Anaerolineales bacterium HSG24. RNAcentral describes it as "tRNA-Arg". It matches the Rfam family "tRNA". From Rfam's summary of the family: Transfer RNA (tRNA) molecules are approximately 80 nucleotides in length. Their secondary structure includes four short double-helical elements and three loops (D, anti-codon, and T loops). Lineage: Bacteria; Bacillati; Chloroflexota; Anaerolineae; Anaerolineales. RNAcentral also lists the same sequence under 1 other name. The record is from RNAcentral.
GCGGUUGUAGCUCAAUGGAUGAGAGCGCCUGAUUUCGAAUCAGGAGGUUGUAGGUUCGAGUCCUACCAGCCGUA